UGGGGAAUAUUGGACAAUGGGCGAAAGCCUGAUCCAGCCAUGCCGCGUGUGUGAAGAAGGUCUUCGGAUUGUAAAGCACUUUAAGUUGGGAGGAAGGGCAGUAAGCGAAUACCUUGCUGUUUUGACGUUACCGACAGAAUAAGCACCGGCUAACUCUGUGCCAGCAGCCGCGGUAAUACAGAGGGUGCAAGCGAUAAUCGGAAUUACUGGGCGUAAAGCGCGCGUAGGUGGUUCGUUAAGUUGUAUGUGAAAGCCCCGGGCUCAACCUUGGUACUGCAUCCAAAGCUGGCGAGCUAGAGUAGGGCAAAGUGUGGUGGAAUUUUCUGUGUAGCGGUGAAAUACGUAGUUAUCGGAAGGAACACCAGUGGCGAAGGCAACCACCUGGGCUCAUACUGACACUGAGGUGCGAAAGCGUGGGGAGCAAACAGG
RNAcentral lists this ribosomal RNA (429 nucleotides) under Pseudomonadota bacterium. Its description in RNAcentral is "Proteobacteria bacterium partial 16S ribosomal RNA". It matches the Rfam family "Bacterial small subunit ribosomal RNA", at positions 355 to 776 of the family's 1533-position model. Lineage: Bacteria; Pseudomonadati; Pseudomonadota. The record is from RNAcentral.